GUGCCAGCCGCCGCGGUAAUACCGGCAGCUCAAGUGAUGGCCACUCUUAUUGGGCCUAAAGCGUCCAUAGCUGGCCGCGCAAGUCCGUCGGGAAAUCCACUCGCCCAACGAGUGGGCGUCCGACGGAAACUGCAUAGCUUGGGACCGGAAGGCUCGAAGGGUACGUGCGGGGUAUGAGUGAAAUCCCAUAAUCCCGCACGGACCACCGAUGGCGAAAGCACUUCGAGAAAACGGAUCCGACAGUGAGGGACGAAAGCCAGGGUCUCCAACCGGAUUAGAAACCCCGGUAGUCC
This 293-nucleotide ribosomal RNA is filed under the name uncultured bacterium. RNAcentral's name for it is "partial 16S ribosomal RNA". It matches the Rfam family "Archaeal small subunit ribosomal RNA", at positions 455 to 747 of the family's 1478-position model. The record is from RNAcentral.